Molecule: ribosomal RNA, 505 nt
Filed under: uncultured bacterium
Lineage: Bacteria
Description: partial 16S ribosomal RNA
Source: RNAcentral
GGAGUUAGCCGGUGCUUCUUCUGUGAGUGAUGUCCUUCCUGCCGGCUAUUAACCCGCAGGCCUUCUUCCUCACUGAAAGUGCUUUACAACCCGAAGGCCUUCUUCACACACGCGGCAUGGCUGGAUCAGGGUUGCCCCCAUUGUCCAAUAUUCCCCACUGCUUCCUCCCGUAGGAGUCUGGGCCGUGUCUCAGUCCCAGUGUGGCUGAUCAUCCUCUCAGACCAGCUACGGAUCGUCGCCUUGGUUAGCCGUUACCUCACCAACCAGCUAAUCCGACAUAGGCUCAUCCGAUAGCGCGAGGCCCGAAGGUCCCCCGCUUUCCCCCGUAGGGCGUAUGCGGUAUUAGCCUGGGUUUCCCCAGGUUAUCCCCCACUACCGGGCAGAUUCCUAUGCAUUACUCACCCGUCCGCCGCUCGCCACCAGGGAGCAAGCUCCCCGUGCUGCCGCUCGACUUGCAUGUGUUAGGCCUGCCGCCAGCGUUCAAUCUGAGCAGANACAACACUGA